This 1752-nucleotide long non-coding RNA is filed under the name Lotus japonicus. RNAcentral describes it as "long non-coding RNA (LJAP_LNC000442)". The record is from RNAcentral. Lineage: Eukaryota; Viridiplantae; Streptophyta; Magnoliopsida; Fabales; Fabaceae.
ACUAAUCAACCUUUCAUUCCUCUUCAUUUGUUAGUUUGAUGUGAAUGAAAAGAUGUACUAAAGCAGCAAAUAGCAGGGUUAUAUCUGUGGAGCCUCUUUCAAAGCGUGUUGAAGUUACACUGAAGACCUCAACUGUUUCAGAUACAUCAAAAUCUGAAAGUAUGGAUUUGAGUAAAUUUCAUGUGGGAGAUCUUAUAUCUGGCAGGAUUAAGCGGGUUGAGCCAUUUGGUUUGUUCAUUGCAAUUGACAACACAAACAUGGUAUUUAUGCAUCCUUCAGAGCCAUUUGUGAUCCAUGCAUUUGUAAUAUUAAAGUCUUAUGAUCAAAAUAAAUUAAGAGCUUCAUAUUUCUUAUGUGAUUUUAGCUUUUUAAUUAAAUACAACAUUAUUAUUUGUUUAAGUUUGUGGUUUUUUUUUUUUAUUUCUUAAUUUGGAUGUCUCAAAUGCAUACAGCUUCAUCCAAUCUUUUCAUGGCUGUGGUUGUAUUUAUGUCAAAUUAUGAUUUUACAUAAAUGUUGCUCUUAAGGAAAUGUUAGUGGUCAAUUCGAUUCUGUGAGCUCACUUGAUUAUGGUCCUUUAAUUACCUAGGUUGGAUUGUGCCACGUGUCAGAGAUUUCUGAUGAUCGGAUUGAGAACAUUGAAGCCAAGUAUAGAGCUGGAGAGAAAGUAAAGGCAAUACUAUUGAAGGUAACUCAUUGACAAAAGCUUAAGAUAUGUUACUGGUAUCUAUACUUUUACCUGGACAAGAUUAUAUCCCACUCCUGUUGGUUUUAUUUGGCAUAGGAACUUCUAGUUAUUAACUGCGAGUUUCUGAUGAAUUGUAUGUACAUCUUAUAAUUGGAAGCGCUUUGCAUGGUACCUGUUUUUUAUUUCUGUAACACUUUUAAGGCAUCUUAGUCAGAUGAAUGUGACAAGGAUUCAAAAGGAUGCAUGAUGUACCAAUUAUUCACAUUUUCUUAAUAUUUAUUAUCAGGUGGAUGAAGAAAAGAACAGAAUUUCUUUGGGAAUGAAGAAUUCAUAUAUGAAAGAUGAAACUGUGCACGAAACACCUCUGGAGGAAGGUUCGGAUGAACCUAUUGCAGAUGGAAUGAAGUCUGUAACUUCUAUCCAUGAUAGUUUGAUUGGAACCUCAAAUAUAGACAUUGAAGGUGACAUUGAUCAAUUCCCAAUUCUUUCACUAGCGGAAGAAAGGGCAUACAUUCCUCCACUUGAUGUUGCCCUUGAUGAGAAUGAUCAGUUUGAUGUAAAUAACACAAAUAGUCUAACUGAAGAUCCUGCAAAAGAAGAAGCCACUUUACAUGAAAAGCAGAAGAGUCAUGAAAAGAAAAAGGCAAAGGAGGAGAGGUUUAUAUAAUUCUUUAUAAUGCAUUUGUUUUGCUGUAAAUUUUUAUCUCAAUCAUGUUCUUUCUUUCGCUUUUUGAUUUUUAAUAUAUCGUAUGUGCUGCACAGGGAGAAACAAAUAAGGAUUGCUGAGGAAAGACUACUGGAGGAGGAUGUACCAAGAACUGCUGAUGACUUUCAAAGCGUGUUGAAGUUACACUGAAGACCUCAACUGUUUCAGAUACAUCAAAAUCUGAAAGUAUGGAUUUGAGUAAAUUUCAUGUGGGAGAUCUUAUAUCUGGCAGGAUUAAGCGGGUUGAGCCAUUUGGUUUGUUCAUUGCAAUUGACAACACAAACAUGGGAUUUAUGCAUCCUUCAGAGCCAUUUGUGAUCCAUGCAUUUGUAAUAUUAAAGUCUUAUGAUCAAAAUAAAU